Long non-coding RNA from Lacerta agilis (Sand lizard), 723 nucleotides. RefSeq lists it as uncharacterized. The transcript is spliced from 3 exons. Lineage: Eukaryota; Metazoa; Chordata; Lepidosauria; Squamata; Lacertidae. The record is from RefSeq and is a predicted model, not a curated record.
AUUGCCUUUGCAAUACAUCUGAAACGCUUCUCUAAGGGGUUAAGCUGACCGAGUCUCUAUUCCUAGGAUACCUUUGAGGAAGGAGGGUUGUAACCUGCUUUAAGUCACUUCCUGCUUUUCAUCUCUCUCUCUCUCUCCCCCAAACCUCCCCCCAGCCACGGUGAGAAAGAUCCAGGGUGUGAUGUCAAUGGCUGGAGGGGAAUCUGGUCGGGGAGGAUCUGUGCUUAAUCGGCUUGUUGGACGAAGAUGGUCUUCAGUAGGAAACAGAGAUGAUGCCUGUCUAAUAUUUGAGAGGAAGGAAAUCCAAAGGGGAUGAGACCCGAUGGCUUUCUGGGACCCUUCGGUUUUGCCUUUGUGAUGUGACAGCCUCAUUUGGCAGUGUGGCAGAACAGCAGCCUGCAGACUUUUGUGGGCCCACAAAGUAGCAUCCGACCUCCACUUGCUCCCCUCCAAAUUCUGCCUUUGCCCCCCCCCCCGAAACGAGAGAGAAUGAGAGCAGAACAAGGAGACCCAUUGGCUGUCGGUCUGCAGUUGGACGCCGUGCUGGAGCACCAAGUGAAGACAGAAGACUCGCAAGAUGUGGUCGGCCCCAAGGCGGUGGCCGUGGACCCGUCUGCCGCCCAGGCUGGGAGCAGUAGAGGAUGCUGGGGAAGAAACGGAGCAGCGGUUGUCCUGAGCGAGGAGGAUGUGAUCCCCUUAGAUGCGGCUCCACAUCGGAUGCUG